Molecule: ribosomal RNA, 253 nt
Filed under: uncultured bacterium
Lineage: Bacteria
Description: partial 16S ribosomal RNA
Rfam family: Bacterial small subunit ribosomal RNA
Source: RNAcentral
UACGUAGGGGGCGAGCGUUGUCCGGAUUUAUUGGGCGUAAAGAGCUCGUAGGCGGCUUGUUACGUCGGCUGUGAAAUCCCGCGGCUCAACUGCGGGUCUGCAGCCGAUACGGGCAGGCUAGAGUUCGGUAGGGGAGACUGGAAUUCCUGGUGUAGCGGUGAAAUGCGCAGAUAUCAGGAGGAACACCGGUGGCGAAGGCGGGUCUCUGGGCAGUAACUGACGCUGAGAAGCGAAAGCGUGGGGAGCGAACAGG